CGGGAGGCAGCAGUGGGGAAUAUUGCACAAUGGGGGAAACCCUGAUGCAGCGACGCCGCGUGAGCGAAGAAGUAUUUCGGUAUGUAAAGCUCUAUCAGCAGGGAAGAAGAAAUGACGGUACCUGACUAAGAAGCACCGGCUAAAUACGUGCCAGCAGCCGCGGUAAUACGUAUGGUGCAAGCGUUAUCCGGAUUUACUGGGUGUAAAGGGAGCGCAGGCGGAAGGCUAAGUCUGAUGUGAAAGCCCGGGGCUCAACCCCGGUACUGCAUUGGAAACUGGUCAUCUAGAGUGUCGGAGGGGUAAGUGGAAUUCCUAGUGUAGCGGUGAAAUGCGUAGAUAUUAGGAGGAACACCAGUGGCGAAGGCGGCUUACUGGACGAUAACUGACGCUGAGGCUCGAAAGCGUGGGGAGCAAACAGGAUUAGAUACCCUAGUAGUC
Molecule: ribosomal RNA, 438 nt
Filed under: Marinitenerispora sediminis
Lineage: Bacteria; Bacillati; Actinomycetota; Actinomycetes; Streptosporangiales; Nocardiopsidaceae
Description: bacterial SSU rRNA
Rfam family: Bacterial small subunit ribosomal RNA
Source: RNAcentral